GACGAACGCUGGCGGCGUGCCUAAUACAUGCAAGUUGAGCGCUGAAGGUUGGUACUUGUCCCGACUGGAUGAGCAGCGAACGGGUGAGUAACGCGUGGGGAAUCUGCCUUUGAGCGGGGGACAACAUUUGGAAACGAAUGCUAAUACCGCAUAAAAACUUUAAACACAAGUUUUAAGUUUGAAAGAUGCAAUUGCAUCACUCAAAGAUGAUCCCGCGUUGUAUUAGCUAGUUGGUGAGGUAAAGGCUCACCAAGGCGAUGAUACAUAGCCGACCUGAGAGGGUGGGCGGCCACAGUGGGACUGAGACACGGCCCAAACGACUACGGGAGGCAGCAGUAGGGAAUCUUGGGCAAUGGACGAAAGUCUGACCGAGCAACGCCGCGUGAGUGAAGAAGGUUUUCGGAUCGUAAAACUCUGUUGGUAGAGAAGAACGUUGGUGAGAGUGGAAAGCUCAUCAAGUGACGGUAACUACCCAGAAAGGGACGGCUAACUACGUG
This 497-nucleotide ribosomal RNA is filed under the name uncultured bacterium. RNAcentral's name for it is "partial 16S ribosomal RNA". It matches the Rfam family "Bacterial small subunit ribosomal RNA", at positions 28 to 507 of the family's 1533-position model. The record is from RNAcentral.